RNAcentral lists this long non-coding RNA (649 nucleotides) under Mus caroli (Ryukyu mouse). RNAcentral describes it as "lncRNA (MGP_CAROLIEiJ_G0006655.1)". Lineage: Eukaryota; Metazoa; Chordata; Mammalia; Rodentia; Muridae. The record is from RNAcentral.
UAUGACUGCCUUGACUAUAAGCCCUAGAAGUAAAAACCUAUGAAAGCUACACCACUACACCGAGCGGCAACAAGAGCAAGCAAAAUCCACUUAAGGUUUUAGUAUCUGUGAUCACUUUGUGUGUUCUUUACCUCCAGCGGUAAGAAACGAUUUCUCCUUCCACUCCAUGUGCGGGUUGCAUUUGGAUUGCUUUUCUAAAGUGUGCCUCUCUUUGUAAGAUUUUAAGUUGGGGGCAUCUGGGUGCCUUUAUUCCAGUACAUCUUGUUUAUCUUCUAUUCUCAGCUCUGCAGCCUCGUUCUCUCCCGGCCAAGCUUUUAGGAAGGGAAGGAUCCAGGAGGGCCAUCUAGUGAGAAGAGCGUUACCACUAAAACUGUAGUGCGUUGGAGCAUCAGAGAAAUAUCUUAAGGACUGUGUCCAGGCCGGUUUACUCUCUUUGUCCUCUGGGAAAAUUGCUCCAGCAGAGGCCUGACAGGAGAAUGCGGAGACCGUUGUUUGUACCACUUUACAGAUUUGUAUUUGUGUGACCAAAGGGGCAUCACCGGCCUCCUGGUUUCUGCACAGAUAAAAAGUGGAAAACCCGGAAGGUUCUCACACUUCUGGCUUCCUGGAAACACGGGAGGAAAUCAAGGGCAGCACCCGCCUGAGCGUG